CAUGUGUAAAAAAACUUGAGAGUGUCAAGUGUCAUCAUCUCACCAUUAAUUUUAUUUUAUUUUAUUUUUCAUUUAUUAUCUACACAAAAGUUAAUAGUGAGAUGGUAAAACUUGACACUCACAAAUUUUUUUACACUUG
RNAcentral lists this microRNA precursor (139 nucleotides) under Lotus japonicus. Its description in RNAcentral is "miR11080 stem-loop (lja-MIR11080)". Lineage: Eukaryota; Viridiplantae; Streptophyta; Magnoliopsida; Fabales; Fabaceae. The record is from miRBase by way of RNAcentral.